AUUGUAAACAAUUUCAAAAAUGCCAUUAGUAAUAUCUUACUGUAUUCUUCAAUAGUGGGGCUAUUUCUCAAAAGGAUGUACUUUUCAGAAUCUAGGAUUUAAGUUAAAUUGGGCUAAGAUGAAAAGGAUGUCAAGGUAAUCAAAACUUUGGGAUUAGGCUGGGCACAGUGGCUCAUGCUUGUAAUCCCAGCACUUUGGGAGGCCGAAGCAUGACGAUCAUUUGAGCCUAGGAGUUUGAGGCCAGCCUGGGCAACAUAGCAAGAUGAUAUAUCCACAAAAACUACAACAAAUUAGCCAGGCGUGGUGAUGCAUGUCUGUAGUUCCAGCUACUUGCAAGGUGAGGUGGGAGAGUCACUUGAGUCUGGGAGGUCGAGGCUGCAGUGAGCCAUGAUUGCACUUUAGCCUGAGGGAGAGACUGAGACCCCGUCUCAAAAGAAAAAAAAACUCUGAGGAAACAAAGAAACAAACAACAACAACAACAACAAAAAUGGUGGUAUUACAUGCGAGCCAUGCAGACCCAAAGUGGUUAUGUGUAUGAUAUAAACUGCCUCAAUGUAAUUCUUUUUUGUUUUGUUUUUGAGAUGGAGUCUUGCUCUGUUGCCCAGGCUGGAGGGCAGUGGCACGAUCUUGGCUCUCUGCAACCUCCGCCUCCCAGGUUCAAGCAAUUCUUGUGCCUCAGCCUUCUGAGUAGCUGUGACUGCAGGCGUGUACCCCAUCACACCUGGCUAUUUUGAUUUUUUGAAUUAAUUUAUUUUCUUUUUGUAUUUUAGCAGAGAUGGUGGGUUUUGCCAUGUUGGCCAGGCUGGUCUUGAAUUACUGGCCUCAACUGAUGCACCAGCUUCAGCCUUCCAUUGUGCGGGGAUUACAGGCAUGAGCCACUGUGCCCUGCCUCAGUCAGGUUUCAGAACCACUGAUCUGGAGAGAUGAAGGAGGUUGGUAGUAUGAGGCAGACUCUGCAACCGUGCAUGGGCGUUAGAGGAAAAUAAUGGUGCCAGGCAAAGCAUUAGCACUGAUGCUUUAUUUUAUAAUCUGCUCAGCUCUCCUGGAAUGAGUGAUUGCCCUGGGGAGUUUAAACAAACAAACCAACAAAGCUAUGUUUGCAAAAAGAAAUUGCUAUCUUAUUUGAUGUUCUAAUGCUUUACAUGCAAACAAUCCCGACCACCUCUUCACUAUUGCCUGUCAUUUUUCCUAUCACAGCCCUCUGUUUAUUUUCCUAAUAGCAUUUACCACAAUUAGCAAUUAUUACACUCAUUGUCUGCCUCCUCUCAUUACAAUAAUAGCUAACUGUCUCUGUGUAAAAACAAGGUUCAUAAUUCUUGUUCACCUCCUCCUCACACAGCCCCUGAUAAAUAUUUGAAUGAAUGAAACAAAAAUAGUACUCAAUCAACCAAUGUGCCAAUCAAAUUUGCUAUGCCAUAAAAAUCACUGCCUGCCUUGUGGCCCCAAACCAGC
Molecule: long non-coding RNA, 1452 nt
Filed under: Callithrix jacchus (white-tufted-ear marmoset)
Lineage: Eukaryota; Metazoa; Chordata; Mammalia; Primates; Cebidae
Description: lncRNA (ENSCJAG00000082893.1)
Source: RNAcentral